This 435-nucleotide long non-coding RNA is filed under the name Phascolarctos cinereus (koala). RNAcentral's name for it is "lncRNA (ENSPCIG00000035669.1)". Lineage: Eukaryota; Metazoa; Chordata; Mammalia; Diprotodontia; Phascolarctidae. The record is from RNAcentral.
CCCCCAGGGAGAAAGCUACAUGCAAGAGAAACAGUGAGAAACAUCAAAGCCUCUUCCGAUCCUUCUCAGCCUCCUGCCCCCACUAUCCCUGAGCUCUCAAUCGCAGCAGGCCCGAGAAGGAAAGUGACCAGGGCAGCAACUGGAGCCUGGGCUGAACAAGUUAAGGGGAUUUUCUGCCCACCUUCCAGGUUGUCCUCCAGCCAAAGGUGUCGGUGUGGAGCGAAUCUUUGCUGUGACCCCUCCCUCCAAACCUCCACCCCUGGAUGCCCAGCUCUGUUUCAGAGCCCAGGAGAGACACCAAAGGAGAAGAGCCUGUGCUUUUGCCCUGGAGACCUCCCACUGUCAUUGAGGAGAAAUAGAUUCACAGGCAUGAAAAGAUAGUUUCCAGUCUGACAUUAAUCCAACGUGUAAAGUCUGUCUUUUUUUUUUUUUUUU